Gallus gallus (chicken) is the source of this 1469-nucleotide long non-coding RNA. Lineage: Eukaryota; Metazoa; Chordata; Aves; Galliformes; Phasianidae. The record is from Ensembl.
AAACACUGCUACCACCACCCUGAAGUAUCAGAAUUGCCUCUUUCGGCACUGCUUAAAGCAUAGUAUUUACCAGGAAAAGAAAAUACUUAAUCUCUCACUCAGUUUUUAAGGGAAAAGGUCAGUUUUUCUCUUCUGUGUUAACAAAAAACAGCAUUUCCCCAAAGAAAAUAUGAACUUCUUCAGAGAUGUUUUCUGCGAACAAUAAGAAUCUCAAACACUUCUGCUGGGACUGCAAAGAAUCAACAAUAUAGCUGCAGCUUGUGAUAAGAGGAGAAAGAACUCAUCAAAUAAAGUUCUGGACCACAAAUCGUAAAGAAAGUUUCAACAGUUGAACCUUAAAAGUUCAUUGAAACAAAGACAAAGUAGCAUCUCUAAGUUAGCACAGAAGUCGUCUGUCCUGCAGAAGGGCUCUUUCUGAGAUUUAUGGAAGAAGACUUAAUUGCCUUGUUUUCUACUCCUUGAAUUAUAUUUGUCAAGCACCUGUUCGCCAGCCAUAUACACAGUUUUCCUGCCUAGACACAAGUUUCCAAAUGUUGCUGUCUACAUUUAAUAUGUGCCAUUAUGUACCCAGGGGCAAAGCUCUCAGAAGUAUUAAAAGUGGCUUGAAUUAUAUAGAAAUGUGUUUAAAGAUCUGUGUCAAGGUGCCUUGAAAUACUGAGACCUAAACACCAUCUGGUUCUAUCAAAAACUAGUGUGUUAGACAAGUCAAGCAGUUCUGAAAAAUCAGGCCACUUAGAGCCUCAAUAUGCAACAUGCUGAGCAACUCCUGCCCUUCAGGAUCAAGCUUCUUUUUAAAAAUUUAAGUUUGAAAUGUUGGACAUAAUUAAUUUUCUGCUACGAUUAGUUUGAGGCCAAACAAUGGGAUACAGAUCACAGAUCUAGGCUUUAGCUGGAUCCUAAGGAUGUCCUUGCUUUGAAAUGUAAUAUGCCUGAAGAAAAAGAGUCUCCUACACUCUUUGUUCCUUAUGAGAAUUUAAAUAUUUAAUGUGGGAGAAUGUAGAGUUACAUUUUAAGCCUGUGUACUGAUUAUAGCUAUUGAAGCCACUCUUAUUUCAUACUUCUUUGUUAAAUUUGUUCUUUAGAAAUCCUUUUGAUGAUUUAUUUCCCAUGUCAACAGCCAUUAUAAGGAACAGUACUGAAACAUUUCAUGUUAUUGUUAAUUUUUCAUUAGAGUUUAUUAUUUUAAAUUGGUACAUUGAUGCUAAAAAAUAACAAAACCCACUUUAUUAAUCAAAAUCCCCAGUGCAGCAAAUUACAAUGUAUGAUUUCUGCUGAGGUUUUUGUUUGUUUUUCUUUUUUUCUUUUUUUAUAAUGUUUACCCCUUUUCAGGGUUAUAAAUAAUGAAUGUGGGUUUUUUUGUUUGUUUGUUUGUUUGUUUUUUGUUUUUUGUUUUUCUCAGAAGGCCUUUGCAACAGUCCUGAAGUCCUGGAGGACUGUGGUAAAGGAUAUUAAAUGUAGUAUCACCCAGC